Molecule: long non-coding RNA, 321 nt
Filed under: Phoenix dactylifera (date palm)
Lineage: Eukaryota; Viridiplantae; Streptophyta; Magnoliopsida; Arecales; Arecaceae
Description: long non-coding RNA (PDAC_LNC005688)
Source: RNAcentral
ACAUGAACUAUUUAAUCUUAACCAACAUACAAGACUAGAAUAAGAUUAAGUUGGAAAUAAAAGUUCAAUGUACAACAAAUUUGGGUUAUGUGCUCUAGCUUAGGCUCAAAGAACUUGGUCUAACCAAUUCAAAUCAUUAGCCUAGCCAAAAGACUGUGGAGUGCUUUCUUUCUCCAAGAUUUUUUUUAGGAUAAAAUUAAAUGAAUUAAAUUAUACACAUCUGUCGAAAUUAGAAAACAAAAUAUUUAACAAUUGAACCAAAAAAUUUGUCCAAAAAUUCCAUAAUAUAGUUUUAGUAUAAAAGACAUCAUUUAAUCAGCU